GGCAGCACCAGGGGGUGGGCGUGGGCAGCCAUGGGAGAGAGAGGGCGAUAGGGGAGGGCCCCUGCUCACAGUCUCCUCCCUGCCUCCCUCUGCUCCCAGCCCAGCGCCUCCUGGCAAGAGCUUAUUUGCAUGGUAUUUACAUUUCAUUUGCAUCGCGUUCAAUUAAAAACCUGACCAGCUCCCGCCUGCCUGGCGCUGCCUGCCCAGCCUGGUGAAAACAUUGGUUGGGCAUUGUGUGCCGCCUCCCCUGGCGCCCCCCCCCCCCACCAUGGAUUGACUGAUGUGGGAGGGGUCCUCCCCUCAGUGACAUCACCUAAGUCACCCAUCCUAGGAUUGAGAGGGCUGGAAGUACAAAUGGAGAAACUGAGGUCCAGAAAGAGACGCCAGGAGCUCCAGGCUAAGUCCAGUCUCGAAGAAGAGCUAGAAGAAUUUUAGUAGUAACAACUGCCCCUUUAUGAAAGAAUUGCUGUGCCAGGAGUGGUGCCAGCACCUGGAUGUAAUAUCUCAUUUGAACUUUGCUACCCCUUGAAGUCAGGCCUUGCAUUACCCCCAUUUUACAGAGAAGAAAACCAAGGCUGGAGAGGGCAAGCCCAAGGUCACUUAGGUGACCCAGAAUUCAAAUCAUCAGUAUCACUUCCAAGUCUAUGUUCCAAACCCUGAGCAUGACUGCCAAAAGUACAGUGGCUGCCACCUCCUCCUGGUGAAACCUCCAGAGUCAUUAGCUCUACGACCAGCUACUGCAGCUCUCACCCUAACCUGGAGGCUGGUCCCGCUAUUGCCGGUUCUCUUGCUUCCUAACACUGACAGCCAUGCCCAUCCCUGGCUACAAGGUGGAAUACUGUCCCUGUAGAAGUUCUUCCUGGCACCUGGCCAUAGUCUUUCCUGUUGCAAGAUUGCCCUUCUUGGCAGUCAGAGCUGGUGACUUUGUAAAAGGCAAUUAAAGACCCUGAUAAUGAAACAAACACAAUGGGAAACUUAGAGCCGGGCUAAGGGUGAAGGAUGGGUGAAGAGAUCAGGCAGGCCCAUGAAGACAUGGGAGGCACCAGAGCAAGCUUGGGCAGGGGGAACCCUCAAGGCCCCUUCUGUCCUGGCCUUCUCACCUGGCCAGAGCUGGGCUGGUCGAUGCCAUCUACACGGGUGGGAACUCUUGGAAUUGGGGAGACUAGGGGUCCUCAGGCUGCCCAUGGAGAGGUCAUGCAGGACCCAGAAUUCAGCCCUAGAACUGGGGAGCCCUGGUGUUGAAAGGACUUCCGUCCCGUCCCCCCACACCCACCCCUCAGCCAAUUACCUUUCCUCCCCACCACCCUUAGGGCUCUGGCUGUGAGUAACCAUUCCACCUACCCCUGCUGCUGGAAGACCUGGCCAAUCAGCAGACUCCUCCUCCCUGACCACAGUGAUUAUUCAGGGAUGGACACAUGACCUAGGCCUGGCCAGUCGGGUUGAAUCCCAGAACUUUGGUUGGAAUUAUUGGGGUGAGAGGUUGUCUGAUCUGGUAGUGUGGGAAUUUGAGGCCGCCACCACUUGGGGAGAGCUCUUCAUGAAUGAAGCCAUAAAGGGAAACUGAUCCUUUUACUUGAAGCCAAACACUCUUUGGCUUGAGCCUCAAAAGGAACAAAUAGGUUUCAAUUUUGCUUAAGCCUGUGUGUGUUGGGUUUCUGUCACUUGCAUCCUAAGUCCUAAGCGGGUAGUGCAUGCCUUGCCCAUUCUGCCCUCAGCCUUUGCCCAUGCAGUUCUCCUCUGCCUAGAAUGCCUUCCUCUUGCCCUCUGCUCGCUAGGCAUACCUGCAUUGAGAGGUCCAGCUCACCUCUUCUCUAGGAAGCUCACUUCCAUUCUGUACCCAGCUCUCCUGGCUCCACUCUCCUGGGAGUGUUACCUGGAACUUCUGACCCCCAGCCUGGCGCUCAGCACCUAUGCCCAGAACUGCUGUGUUAUUUCCUUUUCCAGGGUUUGUGUCUCAUUGCCCCAAAGUGGAUUGUAAAUUCCUAGAUGGAGCUGAGUCCCCUCCUAAAGAGAGGAGUGAUAUAGUACAGUGAUUAGAAGCUUGGCUUUGGCAUCAGGCAGCCUCCGUUCAAAUUCUAGCCCGUCUGUGUGAUCUUUGAACCAGUCCCUCCACCUCUGAGCCUCAGUUUCCUGUUCUUUAAAAUGAGAAUUGAAUAAAUCUGCAUGAAAAAAAGUACUUAGCACAGUCGGUCCAUGAAUGUUUACUGGGUACCCACUCUGUGCCUAGAACUGAGGGUUCAUCUGUGUAGCACCCACAGGCAGGGGCCCCCUCCAGCCCCACUUCCUUCCAAGGCACUGGGGGCCCUUGGUGGGGGGAGUCCUGAUCAUCCCCUCCCCCUUCCUCCCCUCCCUGUCGUCCCUUGGAGCCUGCGCCGCUCAGAGUUAAUCUCCUCGCCCGUCAGGGGGUGACAGGAGGUGUCUGUCAUUCGAAGCCGAGGCCGUCAGCCUCGCUGGCUAAUUGGGGCGCAGGCGCCGGGAGCACGGGAAAUGGCCAGAGGGAAGGAGCGGGAAUGAGGGAAGGGAGGCUGCCCUCACCUCCUUCCCGCCAGGCUUGGGGCUGAUCCACAGGGCUCCUUAGGGGAGGGGGAAGGCCAAUCAGAGGAGGAAGGGGCCGUGGAAUGGGGACUCUGUGACCUUGGGCAUAUUGCUAUUCCUCUCUGGGCUUCAUAUUAUUAUUAUUCAUAAUGACAACAGUAAGCCUUUAUUGAGCAAUUACUGUGUAAAUCAGUUCCCAGCACGCCUGCUGAAAACCUCCAAUGGUUUUAUAUGGCCCUUGGAAUUAAAGCCAGGCUCCUACCAAGGUCCUUGAGGACCCCCAGUACCCAUGCCUCUACCCUCCCUGCUCCCUCUGCUCUAGCCACACCAGCCUCCCCACAGAGCAAGCUCUUCCUGCCUCAGGGCCUUUGCACUUGCUGUUUCUGCUCCUUGGAACACCCUUCCUCUGCCUUUCAGCAUGGUUGAUGACAACUCAUUAUUCAGGCCUCAGCUCAAAUGACACCUCGGAGAUAAGGUCCCUGACUACCAUAUCCAAAACCACCCUUCCCCACCUCCAGUUAUGCUGUUAUGUCACCCUGUUACAUUAUCCUAUUUAAACUUUCC
Long non-coding RNA from Equus caballus (horse), 3099 nucleotides. Lineage: Eukaryota; Metazoa; Chordata; Mammalia; Perissodactyla; Equidae. The record is from Ensembl.